Molecule: ribosomal RNA, 82 nt
Filed under: Alternaria gansuensis
Lineage: Eukaryota; Fungi; Ascomycota; Dothideomycetes; Pleosporales; Pleosporaceae
Description: partial 28S ribosomal RNA
Rfam family: Eukaryotic large subunit ribosomal RNA (bases 26-82)
Source: RNAcentral
UCCACCAAGCCACAUUUUUAACCUUUGACCUCGGAUCAGGUAGGGAUACCCGCUGAACUUAAGCAUAUCAAUAAGCGGAGGA